Molecule: transfer RNA, 90 nt
Filed under: Leucoagaricus sp. SymC.cos
Lineage: Eukaryota; Fungi; Basidiomycota; Agaricomycetes; Agaricales; Agaricaceae
Rfam family: tRNA
About the family: Transfer RNA (tRNA) molecules are approximately 80 nucleotides in length. Their secondary structure includes four short double-helical elements and three loops (D, anti-codon, and T loops).
Source: Rfam by way of RNAcentral
CCGACCUUAGCUCAGUUGGAAAGAGCAUCAGACUGUAAUUGGAUACUCGAGGGCAUCUGAGGGUCGCCUGUUUGAGCCAGGCAGGUCGGA